UAAUUAAUAAUAAUAAUAAUAAUAAUAAAAUUAACAAUAAUAAGAAGAAUAAAAAUAAAUAAAAAAUUUUGAUAUCUUGGUUUACAGUACGUUAUGUUAUUUAUAUAUAUAUAUAUAUAUAGUUUUUGUUUUAUUAUUUAUCGAAAAUAUUAAAAAAUUGGCUUUGCAUGGCCCUAUAUUACAACAUCGCGUCUUAAUAAAUAAUAAUUUUCAUUCAUACAUCUUAUCAUCUCUUUGACUUCUGUAACCAAUGAACAUUAAAAAAAUAAUAAUACAAAAUUUUUUAUUACUUUUUUAAUUCACUUUAUUCACUUGCACGUUUCAUCUCUUAAUCGAUGAAAAUUUAAAAUAAAUAAAUAAAAUAAUAAUAAAUUUUCGUCAUCUUCACUUCUCUUCUGCAUCGUCUUCUUCUCCUUUGCUUGAAAUCGGAGUGAACGACGACGUUACACGAAACUUCACUAGCUUUUCCAUCGGUUUUUCAAAAUUUCGGUCGAUUUCUUCUUACAACGGCGAUAUUAUACGGAAUCGGUGACGUUUCCACGAUAUCACUGACGGAAAUUCUAUCCCCCCUCUAUCGUUGUCGAUGGGUCAGCGAUAUUCGACAUCAUCGGCGAUAUCUCGGCGACUUCUUUGACGUUUUCUUCGUUAGGCAAGUGAUAACCAACCUGUUCAUUUACAUGGAUAUAGCUUUUAUCCUGUUGGGUGGGGUUUUGGUAAUUUUAACCCCAAGGAGGAUCCUUUGAAGGUAUAAUAUUGUUGACCCACCAGAGGAGACUACAGUCGGAGUUCCAAAGAAUGGAUGGGUGGCCAUUAGAUUUGAGACCGAUAAUCCAGGUAUAUGGUUGCUGCAUUGCCAUAUAGUGUCAUACCACAUGGGGAAUGAAUAUGGUGUUCCUACUGAAAGAUGGUGAUGGUCCAACAAGUAUGAUUCUUCCACCGCCUCAUGAUUUACCCAAAUGAUAGACUUCAACACCAUGUGUAUAUAAAUAUAUAUAUAUAUAUAUAUAUAAAAUCAGAUUUAAAUAAA
This is a long non-coding RNA of Ziziphus jujuba (common jujube), 1027 nucleotides long. RefSeq lists it as uncharacterized. NCBI's taxonomy places the organism in Eukaryota, Viridiplantae, Streptophyta, Magnoliopsida, Rosales, Rhamnaceae. The record is from RefSeq and is a predicted model, not a curated record. The transcript has 2 exons.